UGGGGAAUAUUGCGCAAUGGGGGGAACCCUGACGCAGCAACGCCGCGUGAAGGAAGAAGGCUUUCGGGUCGUAAACUUUUGUCUGGAGGGACGAAUAGAUGACGGUACCUCCGGAGGAAGCCACGGCUAACUACGUGCCAGCAGCCGCGGUAAUACGUAGGUGGCAAGCGUUGUCCGGAAUUACUGGGUGUAAAGGGCGCGUAGACGGGCAUGUAAGUCAGAUGUGAAAUACCGGGGCUCAACUCCGGGGCUGCAUUUGAAACUGCAAGUCUUGAGUGCAGGAGAGGGAAGCGGAAUUCCUAGUGUAGCGGUGAAAUGCGUAGAUAUUAGGAGGAACACCAGUGGCGAAGGCGGCUUUCUGGACUGUAACUGACGUUGAGGCGCGAAAGCGUGGGUAGCAAACAGG
This 406-nucleotide ribosomal RNA is filed under the name uncultured bacterium. Its description in RNAcentral is "bacterial SSU rRNA". It matches the Rfam family "Bacterial small subunit ribosomal RNA", at positions 355 to 776 of the family's 1533-position model. The record is from RNAcentral.